Molecule: ribosomal RNA, 303 nt
Filed under: uncultured Gammaproteobacteria bacterium
Lineage: Bacteria; Pseudomonadati; Pseudomonadota; Gammaproteobacteria
Description: bacterial SSU rRNA
Rfam family: Bacterial small subunit ribosomal RNA
Source: RNAcentral
AUUGAACGCUGGCGGCAGGCCUAACACAUGCAAGUCGAGCGGUAACAUUUCUAGCUUGCUAGAAGAUGACGAGCGGCGGACGGGUGAGUAAUGCUUGGAAAUCUGCCUGGUAGUGGGGGACAGCAGUUGGAAACGACUGCUAAUACCGCAUAACCUCUUCGGAGCAAAGUGGGGGACCUUCGGGCCUCACGCUACCAGAUGAGUCCAAGUGGGAUUAGCUAGUUGGUAAGGUAAAAGCGUACCAAGGCGACGAUCAGUAGCUGGUCUGAGAGGAUGAGCAGCCACACUGGGACUGAGACACGG